GCAGAGUAAGUACCUGCGCGUGAAGUGCCGGGUGGACGGGGAGCUGUCAUCCGGACGAAAAGCCAUAAACGGCUUGCGGUGCCGGUACUGCAUCCCGCUGC
Molecule: non-coding RNA, 101 nt
Filed under: uncultured Dialister sp.
Lineage: Bacteria; Bacillati; Bacillota; Negativicutes; Veillonellales; Veillonellaceae
Description: THF riboswitch
Rfam family: THF (Tetrahydrofolate) riboswitch aptamer
About the family: THF riboswitch presents a pseudoknot that joins P1-P2 and the loop of P3 and two THF binding.
Source: RNAcentral